UACGAAGGGGGCUAGCGUUGCUCGGAAUGACUGGGCGUAAAGGGCGCGUAGGCGGUUUGUACAGUCAGGUGUGAAAUUCCCGGGCUCAACCUGGGGGCUGCACUUGAUACGUAUGGACUGGAGUGGGGAAGAGGGUCGUGGAAUUCCCAGUGUAGAGGUGAAAUUCGUAGAUAUUGGGAAGAACACCGGUGGCGAAGGCGGCGACCUGGUCCUUGACUGACGCUGAGGCGCGAAAGCGUGGGGAGCAAACGGG
Molecule: ribosomal RNA, 253 nt
Filed under: uncultured bacterium
Lineage: Bacteria
Description: partial 16S ribosomal RNA
Rfam family: Bacterial small subunit ribosomal RNA
Source: RNAcentral